This is a long non-coding RNA of Tachysurus fulvidraco (yellow catfish), 339 nucleotides long. RefSeq lists it as uncharacterized. The record is from RefSeq and is a predicted model, not a curated record. The transcript has 3 exons. NCBI's taxonomy places the organism in Eukaryota, Metazoa, Chordata, Actinopteri, Siluriformes, Bagridae.
CAUGGCUUGAUGACACCGCUAGGAAACACCAUUCGGACCGCGGUUCGUGUACGCAAUGGCCUUGGGAAAUGGUAGUGCCCAGAAACCUGAAGGCCUCCACAGAUGACACCGAAAUAAAUUGGAGACUGAUCGUCUUCGUGCGAUGAAGUUUUUGGACCUCCACUGAGAUUAGACUGAAUCUGUGAGGAUCCUGAGGCAUCUAGAGAUCUACCAGCUCAGACUCUGCCAUCAGACUCUGCAAUACCAAAGAGGAGAUGUGAACUCCAUAUGAUCUUUUGCAUCUAUACAACAUUUGUUUGACUGUAUUUUUAUAAUCACACCAUCCAGUGUCACUCAUAU